CAUAAACACUUCAAAUUCUCAGUGGUUCUUUCUGAAUUAUAAACUCCAUGAAGACCCAAUUCCAUCAGCAGCCAUUGGAAGUUUUUGACAAAAUGGGAAGAUCACUGCUGUAUAUUUGUAGUUUAAAUAGCGAGCAUUUAAAGCUUUCUCUGAGGCAGUUUCUGGAAAGUUAAAGACUAAUGAGAAAAACAGCUGAAGAAACUCUCCCCAAUGAGUUUAUGUCCCUAAGCGAUGAAUUUUUGAAUGGUGCAAUGUUCUAACAUGUGAUGGACAGCGAAUUCCCAGAGAAUCAUCAAGUACACUUUGGAAUAAAUGAACAGCAGGACAUAUUUUUUAAGGAGUGCUGAGCCGCAGUAAAACUCCAGAGAAUGCU
This 373-nucleotide long non-coding RNA is filed under the name Homo sapiens (human). RNAcentral describes it as "HSALNT0122513". Lineage: Eukaryota; Metazoa; Chordata; Mammalia; Primates; Hominidae. The record is from RNAcentral.